AUCUAACUCUGUUUGUCUAUAAAUUUUGUAUCUUCAUUUUGUGUAUCUGGGAUGCAUGAUAUCAUAGCCCUCUUUAAUUAGACCUCUUUCCUUUUUCUUCCUAACCUCCACUUAACAAUAAAUGAUCAAAAAUAAAUAAAUUUGUGAGGGUUCAACUUUUGAUAUGGAUGAAUUGAAACCAUUAUGGAAAAGUUUUAGAAGAUCACAC
Molecule: long non-coding RNA, 208 nt
Filed under: Solanum tuberosum (potato)
Lineage: Eukaryota; Viridiplantae; Streptophyta; Magnoliopsida; Solanales; Solanaceae
Description: long non-coding RNA (STUB_LNC004227)
Source: RNAcentral